GGUUGGAUGGCCGAGCGGUCUAAGGCGCCAGACUAAGGACCAGCGUCAAUUGGCGCUUCUCUAAUCUUCUGCAGUUACCGUUACCUGCGGUGGUUAUCUGGUCUUUCGGGGCGUGGGUUCGAAUCCCACUCCAAUCA
Roridomyces roridus is the source of this 137-nucleotide non-coding RNA. The record is from the annotation of a GenBank genome assembly. Lineage: Eukaryota; Fungi; Basidiomycota; Agaricomycetes; Agaricales; Mycenaceae.